This 220-nucleotide long non-coding RNA is filed under the name Carica papaya (papaya). RNAcentral's name for it is "long non-coding RNA (CPAP_LNC007041)". Lineage: Eukaryota; Viridiplantae; Streptophyta; Magnoliopsida; Brassicales; Caricaceae. The record is from RNAcentral.
UACAUCACUACUGUGGCCCUAUAUAUUAUAUCGCAAAUCCACUUUCAUCAAAAGGAACACCAAUCAUUUACAGGGAGCGUUCCACCAACAUUUCAUAUUUAAAGUAGGGAGAGACCAAAAUCCCUCAAAGAUAAUAGUUAAACAGAUUUUCAUUCUCUUCUCUUUCAUGUUCAAUGUUUAAUCAUAAUAAUAUUUCAUGCAUAGGAUCCAAUGGUGAUCU